This is a long non-coding RNA of Cercocebus atys (sooty mangabey), 490 nucleotides long. RefSeq lists it as uncharacterized. The record is from RefSeq and is a predicted model, not a curated record. The transcript is spliced from 3 exons. Lineage: Eukaryota; Metazoa; Chordata; Mammalia; Primates; Cercopithecidae.
CCGGCGCCGGGGAGUUUUGUUCCGUUUCCCGGAUCCUUGGGUCUGCAGGCGAAAUACGCUCUGGGCGAGGACCACCGGCUGUGGGAAGAGGGUUCUGAGCGUCUCCUGACCUUGACGGUUUAUUUCCUAGACGUACGUGUCCUUUUUCCUAAGAGCGCCCUAAACAAGAAUAGAAAAUGAAGCAAUUCCUGGGCAAAUGCUUAGAAAACUGGAAGACUGAACUCUGAGGAACUGCCCAGCCCAGGAGGAGCAAUCCAAGAUACUGACAUCAGACGUUCCUCAGUAAAGGCCCGCUCAGAGCACCCUAAGUGAAGCCCAGAGUCUGUAUGCUUCACCCAUAUAUACAGAUCUAAAAAGCUUUUGUGUCUUUUCACUCAUAAGAGUAGACAGAAAAGAAUGACCAGACUUUGGAAGAAAGCUCAGAAGUGAUAGAGACGAAAGCAAGCAGAAAAGCUAUUUGAAGUGUAAAACAACAGAAAAUUUCAAGAAA